RNAcentral lists this ribosomal RNA (301 nucleotides) under uncultured bacterium. RNAcentral's name for it is "partial 16S ribosomal RNA". It matches the Rfam family "Bacterial small subunit ribosomal RNA", at positions 509 to 807 of the family's 1533-position model. The record is from RNAcentral.
CAGUCUCCACGGUAAUACAGAGGGUGCGAGCGUUAAUCGGAUUUACUGGGCGUAAAGCGUGCGUAGGCGGCUUUUUAAGUCGGAUGUGAAAUCCCUGAGCUUAACUUAGGAAUUGCAUUCGAUACUGGGAAGCUAGAGUAUGGGAGAGGAUGGUAGAAUUCCAGGUGUAGCGGUGAAAUGCGUAGAGAUCUGGAGGAAUACCGAUGGCGAAGGCAGCCAUCUGGCCUAAUACUGACGCUGAGGUACGAAAGCAUGGGGAGCAAACAGGAUUAGAUACCCCAGUAGUCCCUGUCUCUUAUAC